AAAAGAACUUUGGAGAGAGAGUUAAAAGCACGUGAAGCCGUUGAAAGGGAAACGCGCUCGGCUAGCAAUGCGCGUCUGUGAUUCAGCCGGCUAGUCUUGCCGAGUUGCCGUGUGGCGGAUCCGAAUGGACUGUCGGCGGCGGCGGCGGCGGUGGGCGAGCUAUGGUGCACUUCAUGGGCGCGCGCGUCAGCGUCGGUUCUCGACGGACGACGAGGUGCGUGGGAAAGGUAGCUCGGUCUUCGGACGGAGUGUUAUAGGCCCGUGCGCUGGGUUCGUCGUGGGACCGAGGAGAGAGAGAGAGAGAGACGAUCGCUGCGGCACCUGCCUCUCGGGGCUAGCCAGCUGCCGUCAGGUGUGCGCCAGGCGCCGAGGACUGCACGCAGUGCUUGGUGUUGAGGCGUGAUCCGGUGGCGGUGUGGGCAUAGA
This 426-nucleotide small RNA is filed under the name aff. Grantessa sp. GW33306. RNAcentral describes it as "partial large subunit ribosomal RNA". Lineage: Eukaryota; Metazoa; Porifera; Calcarea; Leucosolenida; Heteropiidae. The record is from RNAcentral.